This 241-nucleotide ribosomal RNA is filed under the name Bacillus velezensis. RNAcentral describes it as "partial 16S ribosomal RNA". It matches the Rfam family "Bacterial small subunit ribosomal RNA", at positions 1154 to 1394 of the family's 1533-position model. The record is from RNAcentral. Lineage: Bacteria; Bacillati; Bacillota; Bacilli; Caryophanales; Bacillaceae.
GGUGACAAACCGGAGGAAGGUGGGGAUGACGUCAAAUCAUCAUGCCCCUUAUGACCUGGGCUACACACGUGCUACAAUGGACAGAACAAAGGGCAGCGAAACCGCGAGGUUAAGCCAAUCCCACAAAUCUGUUCUCAGUUCGGAUCGCAGUCUGCAACUCGACUGCGUGAAGCUGGAAUCGCUAGUAAUCGCGGAUCAGCAUGCCGCGGUGAAUACGUUCCCGGGCCUUGUACACACCGCC